UACGAAGGGGGCUAGCGUUGUUCGGAAUCACUGGGCGUAAAGCGCACGUAGGCGGCUUUCUAAGUCAGGGGUGAAAUCCUGGAGCUCAACUCCAGAACUGCCUUUGAUACUGGCGAUCUUGAGUCCGGGAGAGGUGAGUGGAACUGCGAGUGUAGAGGUGAAAUUCGUAGAUAUUCGCAAGAACACCAGUGGCGAAGGCGGCUCACUGGCCCGGUACUGACGCUGAGGUGCGAAAGCGUGGGGAGCAAACAGG
This 253-nucleotide ribosomal RNA is filed under the name uncultured bacterium. RNAcentral describes it as "partial 16S ribosomal RNA". It matches the Rfam family "Bacterial small subunit ribosomal RNA", at positions 524 to 776 of the family's 1533-position model. The record is from RNAcentral.